GGAGGAUAUGCACUGCAGGGGUCUGAAGAUCUCAGGUGGAGGCUUCUUUGAACUUCUACCACUCAGUUACCAGGAUACACUUUGCUUUCCAGUCUCAAACCACUUGUGUACUGUGGCUGAAGCAGAGGAUGAUCCUGGAGAAGUGCGAGCUACAGACUUCUCCCCAGGUAUGAGCCCAGUCAUCUGUUGUCUCAUCCUGGGGGCUGGGGGCGGGAGGGAGCAGGAAGCAUGCUGGGCUAUCACUGAGUCUUUAUUUUCUUCUCCCCCAGAGCCCAGGCCUGUCUCUGUCUAUUCAUGGAGUUUGUAA
This 307-nucleotide long non-coding RNA is filed under the name Zalophus californianus (California sea lion). RNAcentral describes it as "lncRNA (ENSZCAG00015022463.1)". The record is from RNAcentral. Lineage: Eukaryota; Metazoa; Chordata; Mammalia; Carnivora; Otariidae.